GACCUAUUAGCUCAGUUGGUAGAGCAAUUCACUUUUAAUGAAUGGGCCCAUGGUUCGAGUCCAUGAUAGGUCACCA
This 76-nucleotide transfer RNA is filed under the name Campylobacterales bacterium. RNAcentral describes it as "tRNA-Lys". It matches the Rfam family "tRNA". From Rfam's summary of the family: Transfer RNA (tRNA) molecules are approximately 80 nucleotides in length. Their secondary structure includes four short double-helical elements and three loops (D, anti-codon, and T loops). Further hydrogen bonds mediate the characteristic L-shaped molecular structure. tRNAs have two regions of fundamental functional importance: the anti-codon, which is responsible for specific mRNA codon recognition, and the 3' end, to which the tRNAs corresponding amino acid is attached (by aminoacyl-tRNA synthetases). tRNAs cope with the degeneracy of the genetic code in two manners: having more than one tRNA (with a specific anti-codon) for a particular amino acid; and 'wobble' base-pairing, i.e. permitting non-standard base-pairing at the 3rd anti-codon position. The record is from RNAcentral. Lineage: Bacteria; Pseudomonadati; Campylobacterota; Epsilonproteobacteria; Campylobacterales.